GUCUCAAAGAUUAAGCCAUGCAUGUCUAAGUAUAAGCAACUAUACUGUGAAACUGCGAAUGGCUCAUUAAAUCAGUUAUCGUUUAUUUGAUAGUACCUUUACCUGGAUAACCGUGGUAAUUCUAGAGCUAAUACAUGCUAAAAACCUCGACUUCGGAAGGGGUGUAUUUAUUAGAUAAAAAACCAAUGCCCUUCGGGGCUCCUUGGUGAAUCAUAAUAACUUAACGAAUCGCAUGGCCUUGCGCCGGCGAUGGUUCAUUCAAAUUUCUGCCCUAUCAACUUUCGAUGGUAAGAUAGAGGCUUACCAUGGUCUUAACGGGUAACGGGGAAUUAGGGUUCUAUUCCGGAGAGGGAGCCUGAGAAACGGCUACCACAUCCAAGGAAGGCAGCAGGCGCGCAAAUUACCCAAUCCCGACACGGGGAGGUAGUGACAAUAAAUACUGAUACGGGGCUCUUUUGGGUCUCGUAAUUGGAAUGAGUACAAUCUAAAUCCCUUAACGAGGAACAAUUGGAGGGCAAGUCUGGUGCCAGCAGCCGCGGUAAUUCCAGCUCCAAUAGCGUAUAUUAAAGUUGUUGCCGUUAAAAAGCUCGUAGUUGAACCUUGGGCCUGGCUGACCUGUCCUCCUAAUCGAGCGCACGGGUUCGGUCGGGCCUUUCCUUCUAGGGAACCCCAUGCCCUUCACUGGGUGUGGUGGGGAACUAG
RNAcentral lists this ribosomal RNA (702 nucleotides) under Chaetothyriales sp. A1034. RNAcentral's name for it is "SSU rRNA". It matches the Rfam family "Eukaryotic small subunit ribosomal RNA", at positions 34 to 742 of the family's 1831-position model. The record is from RNAcentral. Lineage: Eukaryota; Fungi; Ascomycota; Eurotiomycetes; Chaetothyriales.